GUUUUAUAAAUAGAAUACCAUAUUCUACUUGUGAUGAUGAAAUUCGUGAAAAUAUUUCACAGCUUUUACUUCAAGUGAUUCAAUUGCCACUCAGAUUUUAUGGAGUUGGACUUUUCCAGUUUGGUUUCAAAUUUCUUUACGGAUUCUCAUCUUCUAUCAUGACUGUCGUGGUCAUAUUAGUACAAGCGAAUGC
This is a non-coding RNA of Nylanderia fulva, 193 nucleotides long. The record is from RefSeq and is a predicted model, not a curated record. Lineage: Eukaryota; Metazoa; Arthropoda; Insecta; Hymenoptera; Formicidae.